CAAAUACAGAUGCUGACAGUCAUAGGAAAAUUAUUUCUAUUAAAAGAACAUACAUUAUUGCUGUGUUUUCCUUUCAUGUGGAUUAAGAGCACGAUGGUCCAACAUCAUUUGUUUUCAAGACAGAAUUGUGGGAACUGUAGUCCUCAGGGAGAGUUUGGUGACAUCAGAUUGCUGGAAGUCAUGACACUUAAAAAUUAUGAGAACUUCAGAGUAAACAGGAGAUUUACAGAGUACAGGAAAAAUACUUGGGAAGAUACAGAUGGUUAUAUCUUUUCAAUGGGAGGGGAAUUUUAUAAUAGUGGUAGCUGUGUUUGGUGGUCUGCAAACAUUGCUGCUUAAACAACUGAAAGCUAGGUAGUGCUCCAGGUCUUACUGGUAUACUGUUAAAUGCUUCCUCAUCUUUUUUUUUUUUUUUUUUUUUUUUUUUUUUUUUUUUUUUUUUUUUUUUUUGGUUGUCCUAUGAGACUAGAAAACAGUAGGCUGGAUCUCCAUUUCAGGAAGCGGACCUAGGAAUCAGCCAUACAAGCUUGAGGCAGUAAGUGGUAUUUUUGUUCCAUGGUGCCCUAAAACAGAGGAAGUGCAUAGGGCUCCAUACAAUGCAGUAUGUUACUGUAGAGAUAGCCAUGGUUAACGAGUGCACUACCAAGUAAUGCAAGUUCCCACUGCACCAGGUGUGAAGCCCAGUAGAAGGACCAAGAAAAAAAAACUGCAGCACUAAGCCAGGCAGAAUGCAACAUGCCCUGAUCUAAAGAGAUACCUCACCAGACCACAUCCAUCUGAAGCUUGCUUAUGUGGAAGCAGAGCUGGCCAGGCCAAGACAGCUUGAGAGGAGCUUCCCAUGGCCUCAGGGGUGAUGAGCACUGCUUGUUGCAGCUGAGGAGGCUGCAUCAGCAACACCAACCUGGGAAGUGGGGACCUGCCUGGAGCGAUGCGGUGAGGCAUUCUGAAAGGAGCAUUAAUCUUGCCUGGAAGGGCCGACCUGCUGGCAGCCGAUUCAUCAGCAACACUCCCUGGAAGCUGCUGGCCCACACUUUCUGUCAGUGGUGGGUGGCAAGAUUCAGAAAUGUUAAGAGAAGAAUACCUACAGUCUUCAAAUCUGAGCUCCUCUGUAUGCGGACCAUGGGCAGGUAACCUAUUCUAUCUUCAUUUGCAUUGAGUCAGAGAAAUUCCAGUGUUCCAACCAGCGUCUCCUGUGGACCAUUCACAGAUCUUUCAUUUUCUCAGCCAAACUUAAACAUUCCUUCUGUAGAAAUGUUUGGUCCAGUCUGUACAUAUGCAUAUUCAGCUUCACUUCUUUCAGUAGCUGUUUUUUUUUUUUUUUUUGAGGAAAGGUAACUGCCAGAAGAACAAAGGAAAUUUUGAAGGGUAUAUUAUAUGAAGAAUAUUAUUAACAGUACACAGCAGAAAUAUAAUUUAAAUACUUUCUCUGCUCAUGACAACGGAUUGCAUAUUAUGUAUUAUUACCAUUUACCUACUAUAACUGCAAUCCUCAUUUGUUCACAAUGAUGGUAUAUUUAUGGUCAUGCAAUAGCUUGUUUAGGCCAAAUAUAGGUCAUUACAUUUCUGUGUUUCUGUGAAGUACUCAACACUUUGUGGCUUUAUAUGCUGACCUCUCCUCUCUUGGCUUAAAUUAUUUCAUACUAACAUACGCAAAUUUUCCCUUUCUCUCUCUUUCUUUUUCCCUACUCCCCCUCCCCCCCCCCCCCCCCCCCCCCCCCCCCCCGUUUUAUUCCUUCAUUUAACUGAUGGAAUUUUAAUUCACUAUUGUAGACUGAGUGGCAUGCAUUCACUCUAAUGGUCAAAUGAUUAGGGUGGCAUAAAGGAUGCUAAAACAUAUUUAUUUGUCAUUGAAUAUUCAGAAAAGAUCAUGAUCUUACAUACAGUUCAAUAAUAAGAUACAUGGUAGAAAGUUGAUUUUCCCUCUAAACUUGAGACCCUUUCCAUACUGGCAUUCAAUUUGAUUAAUGUUUACAUUAACUGCAAUUUAUUGGUCACUUGCUCAGCAGAAGCUUUCCAAAGACAGAUUACAUAUGCUAAUGCAUUACUAUUUACAUCCCCAUAAAACAUCCACAGAUUACAAAUUGCAAAAUGCAGGACUAAUUAACACUGAUCAACAGACAUGUAUGCUGAUGUGAUAUAUUGGUAAAACCUCAUUUUCAGCUUCUUUUCGUCAGAAUCAACGUGUUAACCAUCAUUCUGAGGAACGUCUGAGCGGACAUUAAAACACACCAGUAAGACCCUAAAGACCCUAUUCAUAUACUCAGCCUUUUUUUUUUUUUUCUAUAGACCUAAAUAGUUAAAGAUAGGAAUGACUCUCAGAAGUAUCUGCUUUGAAAAUCAAAUACCAUUUACCUAACCAUGUAAGUAAAGACAUACUGGUAAAGCAAACCAAGGAGGAUAUUCACAAGACUGAUUCACAUAGCCCAAGAAACACAUCUUAGUAUAGAUGAAAACUGAAAUAUUUCUUUUUUACGUAUCGUUCCUAGAUAUUUUUAGUGUGAUGAGAAUAGGAGAUAUGAUAAGAAGAAAAUUGCAACUAAAUUGUAACUAAAAUCAAGAAGGAAAAAGUUUAAGGCAAUGAGUGCAUUCAGAGAUCAUUAUGUGUGUAGUACAUUAGAAAAGCAACAGCUUCCAUUUCUGGUAAAGGAAAUGUAUCAAAGAAAAAAAAAAAGCAAAAACACUUUAUUCUUGUUUUGCUCAAGUACAUUUACACGUAAGUGCACCAUAUGCUAGUGGGCAGCAAGACUAAGGCAGAUGUGAAGGUUUGUGAGAGGAACACACAGGAAAGAGAAAUUAGCAUGAAGAAGCCGGCUGAUCUUUCUCACAGCCCAUAAUCAGAAAGGAAUGUGUCAUUCCUGUUUACUCCUAGGCAGUGCUAGAAAAUGAGUAGCAUUAAACAUUCAGCAACAUUAUUCCUUUUCUAUGUCUGCAUAAAUUUUUAACAGUUGUGAUGUCCAAAAUAAUUUGUAUAAGUUUUAAAGCUAGGAAAUGUGUUCAUUCAUAAUACACCUUAGCCAGUCAGUCCAAUAGACACAGUUUCUGAGUACUGCCCAUAAAGCCUGUAUUGGACUAUUUUUAAAUGAAUUGGAAAUUAAAUUUUAUAUUUGUACCAUCUUCCUUCACAAUAUAAGCAGUCAAGUUUUGGCCUACUAAAAGAUGCCCCAGAAAACCUCUGCCUCUUUUGUCAGAUACACCUUUGCCAGCACAUGUGCACUCGCACCUACAACUUACUACACCUACCUUCUUUUUGUCAUCACUGGUGAUACAAGAUAUAUUUCAUAUACAUAUAUACACUAAUAAUACAUAUACAUACAUAUAUUUAGUAUAACACAUGUUUCUCAUUUGAAGUUGUCAUUUUUGAGGAAUGCCAUUUCAAGUGUGUUGAUACAAUAAGUCCUAUUGUUAGUGCUUUUAUGGUCUCACAUACAUACCAACCAUUCUGUACUUCACAUACAUACCAGACCAGUCUUCAAUCUCCCCACUUUCCUUGAUGUUUCCUCUCCAUCAGCUACAAAAGUCUUUCAGAUGGUAGAGGAAUAUGUCAUAUUUUCUCAUUUGUUGUGAACAAGGUUCAGGUCAUCCAUGCAGUCUGUUCAGCUACCAUAAUUGCUUCCUCUUAACAGGUGGGGAAUGCUUUGCCAGAACAUGACAGUAAAGGAAGUAGAUUCAUGAACUUAAAGAGCUUUUCCCUGCCUAGUCUGAUCUCCAAGCAUUUCAAAUUUUAUUAACCUCUUCUGUUAUCUGUUUUAUUAUUCUAGUGCAUAAUAUCAUACAAGCAAUGUGGUUGGGCUAUCAAUAAAUGGCUCUGCUAUUAGAAACAAAGCAAGACUGACAUAUAAAAAAAAAAAAAAAAAAAAAAAAAAGAGAGAGAUCUGACUUUCUUCUCUGGUCAAAAGGACAAAAUAAAGCAACCUGACUCAUGUCCUUGGCAACUUUGCUACCAGAAUUUCCUUCUAAACAUUCCUGACUGCAGUCCCCCAAUAUUGACAAAUGCUUCAGCUGCAAAAGGGCUGUUAGCUUCAAAAUGAAGUAUUUUCUUGAAAACAAACAGAAAACAUACAGAGUAUGUAAAUACAUGUUUUAGGCAUUAAAAAGUUUAGGACUCAAAUGGCUUCAACUUUCCAACUUCUGGUGAGACCUCUGUAGCACUAACUUAGUGUGCAAGUUUGUAUUUCUAUACAGGAUAGCAUUUGUUCCAAUCUAACCUUCUCACAUAGAACAUUUCUAUAGUUAUUUAAGUUACUGAGUUUAAAUUUUUCUCUUGAUCCAUAGUAUGGAAAUUAUACUGUAACCACAGAUAUUUGUCUGGAAACCAGUAUAGUAUCAGUAUCAUCUGCUGAUUUUUGUCUUCUGAUUUCACCCAAAGUGAAACAAUCAUUCUGGAAGACUAUGCAGUACAGAUAUUAGAUUAAUCAGUUAUGUAUUUGUCAAGAGAGAAAGCAUAAAGAAAUAUAUGCCCUGUAUAUUUCUACAUUUAAUGAAUAAAUUAUGGAAACAAUUGCAUGUGUUCACAGAAGAGAAAAUCGUACUCAAGCAUUUACAAGUACUUUAUUCAACCAUGCUGUAGAUAUAAUGCCUCCUUCCCUUUCUGUUGUACUUCACCAACAACCAAACCAAAAGGUUUUGUGCAUCUCUUCAUUUUGUUGGGCCAGACAACAGUAAGGGAAGGUGCGUGGGGAGAUAUUUCACAGGAAAAAUAAAAUCACCCAUUGUCCUAAUUGAAAGAAAAAAUAGCUUUUCUGAAUUAUCCAAUGUAGUUUUUGAAAAAAAGUGAAGAAAAAGUGAAGUGAAGAAAUUGAAUUUUGAGUCAUGCCAUUAUUUGGUUAUUUGGAAGAAAGGAGGGUAUACCAAUAAUAAUAAUAACUUAAAAAGCAUCCAAACAUACACGUAUUCUGUUUAUUUAUUUAUUUAUUUUCUACUUAGGAAUUGGCUAAUAGGGAGGGUAAUGUGGAUUAUGUAAUGGGCUACUUCACUACUGUGGAACAGCACAGCCUAAUGGGAAAUGUAUGUAGCUUCCUGCAUAGAUUGGGGAAGAAGUAAAACAAUUUCUUUGCCAAGGUCUCAGAAACAAAAGUAAAGAAAGCUUCAUCCCUUUGUGCUGCAGUACCAGUGUACAAGGAGUCACAAUGCAUUCUUCUAAUGAAAUGCUACUGAAAGCAUAUCUUGAUUUCACUGGCAGUCAGACCACUACAAAGCUGCACCUGUUUUCUUCCUAGUACUCUGCACUUAAAUGUGUGGCUGAAGUUGAACACUGCCAAUAGCAGGUCCUUCUUAGUGAACAAAAUUGUAUGUCAGAAGUUGCAUACAGGAAUGACAGAACUGUGUAUCCAUAUUAGGUGUUUGUAUGCCUUCAGAUCCCAUAGACCAGUUUAAUGUUAUAUUAAGGCUCCUCAAUAUGGAUAAGAAGUAUUCCAAGAAAUAUUUUUCCAUAUAGAUAUGGAGCAUCCUUCUUCACUGAUGCAGAACAACUGCCUGCAGAUCAAUGAAAAUCUGCUGUUUUCACCCAUUGAAGAGAUGUAUUUGUCUCCAUUCCUAAUUCAGAUGAAAAAAUCUCUCAUGAUAUAUUCUCCUGUUGGUUUGUUGGCAUAGAGACAAAUACCCAGUAAAGUACAAAAAAGUGCCUGUGAUAGUUAGGAAAAAAAAUCCCUAACUUGUGUUAGUGCUAAUAAUUAAAAUAUAGGAAGCUACAUGUCAAGAAUCUGAAAGCCAGAAAUGAACACUGAUUUCUCUCAGUUUUAGGCCUUUGAAAUACUUUUAAAGUACUUUUGAUUAAUCUGAACUCUUACAAUUAAAGAAGCUCAUCAUACUGCAUCAUGCAGUGUUCAGAUGCCCUAACUUUUGAAUGCUGCCUCUGUGGUGUUAAUAGAGCAUUAAUAUAACAUGUUUAGAUACAUCUGAACAUCGUUUUUAGUUUAUAAUGCAGUAAUU
This 5928-nucleotide long non-coding RNA is filed under the name Anas zonorhyncha (Eastern spot-billed duck). Its description in RNAcentral is "lncRNA (ENSAZOG00000013676.1)". Lineage: Eukaryota; Metazoa; Chordata; Aves; Anseriformes; Anatidae. The record is from RNAcentral.